Molecule: non-coding RNA, 92 nt
Organism: Rhamnusium bicolor
Lineage: Eukaryota; Metazoa; Arthropoda; Insecta; Coleoptera; Cerambycidae
Source: the annotation of a GenBank genome assembly
GCUCGGUGGAAUAGUUGGUUAGUGCGUGCGAUGGCAAAUGUGACUAGUUAAUCUCUCCAUUGUAGCUGCGGGUUCGAAUCCCGCCAGCGGCA